This 253-nucleotide ribosomal RNA is filed under the name uncultured bacterium. RNAcentral's name for it is "partial 16S ribosomal RNA". It matches the Rfam family "Bacterial small subunit ribosomal RNA", at positions 524 to 776 of the family's 1533-position model. The record is from RNAcentral.
UACGGAGGGAGCUAGCGUUGUUCGGAAAUACUGGGCGUAAAGCGCACGUAGGCGGCGCAGCAAGUCAGGGGUGAAAUCCCGGGGCUCAACCCCGGAACUGCCCUUGAAACUGCAGUGCUAGAAUCUUGGAGAGGCGAGUGGAAUUCCGAGUGUAGAGGUGAAAUUCGUAGAUAUUCGGAAGAACACCAGUGGCGAAGGCGACUCACUGGCCCGAUACUGACGCUGAGGCGCGAAAGCGUGGGGAGCAAACAGG